UCGAUUCCCGUCACAGCGACGACGUGAUGUAGGGUUUGCAGCCGUGAGACACCCGUCCCGCCGCCAGCCAGCCGUCUUCCCAUUCCCGGCGGCCGUCAACGAGCAAGAACCUGUGCCGGACCACUGCAACGACUACGGCUUCGAUCUCGAUCUUCCUUUCUAUCCAAAUCUUGCAACCAAUCGGUUUUGCUCGCGAGAUCGAAACCACUUCAUUAAUUGCUCAGAGCUAGCUUCAUGUCGUAAUUCUUGAAACGUGGUUUCUCCGUCUCAGCCUGAGGCGAACAGCCAUCGACCAGGCGCCACCACCACCACCAGCCGCCGCCGCUGGAGUCCGCGCCGACAAGCCUCGCCGCCGGCUCGUCUUGCCCCGUCGUCCCCAUCGAGAAGCUCUAGGCUAUAAGAACUGGUUGGGUCCAUCCAAAUCUGAAUUUAGAAAAUCCAGAGAAAAUUGUGAUGAAGUGAAGAAUAUUAUUGGACCUGCCUAGUUAUCCUAUGGCUAAGCAACAAAAAUAAUUAUUGCAUGCAUAGUUCUUCACAACUUUAUUCCAGAAAGCGCUUUGAUGGAUGAAGACUUUGAGAGGCGUGAUCAAGACGUGAACUAUAUCCCAAGUGAGGGUCAAUCAUCUUCAUCUCAAAGAGGUGGUGGCAAUGGAUUAGGAGAUAAAGAUGGAGACAUGAAUAUCUUUCGUGAUAAUCUUGCUAACAUUUUAUUUUCUAUGAGAGAAUAGAUUAUUAUUAUCCUUGAUAUCCAUUAGAAGAUAUG
Phragmites australis (common reed) is the source of this 763-nucleotide long non-coding RNA. RefSeq lists it as uncharacterized. NCBI's taxonomy places the organism in Eukaryota, Viridiplantae, Streptophyta, Magnoliopsida, Poales, Poaceae. The transcript is spliced from 3 exons. The record is from RefSeq and is a predicted model, not a curated record.